Molecule: ribosomal RNA, 402 nt
Filed under: uncultured fungus
Lineage: Eukaryota; Fungi
Description: SSU rRNA
Rfam family: Eukaryotic small subunit ribosomal RNA
Source: RNAcentral
CUUUGGUUCUAUUUUGUUGGUUUCUAGGACCGAAGUAAUGAUUAAUAGGGACAGUUGGGGGCAUUAGUAUUUAGUUGUCAGAGGUGAAAUUCUUGGAUUUACGAAAGACUAACUUCUGCGAAAGCAUUUGCCAAGGAUGUUUUCAUUAAUCAAGAACGAAAGUUAGGGGAUCGAAGACGAUCAGAUACCGUCGUAGUCUUAACCAUAAACUAUGCCGACUAGGGAUCGGACGAUGUUACUUUUCCUGACUCGUUCGGCACCUUAUGAGAAAUCAAAGUUUUUGGGUUCCGGGGGGAGUAUGGUCGCAAGGCUGAAACUUAAAGGAAUUGACGGAAGGGCACCACCAGGAGUGGAGCCUGCGGCUUAAUUUGACUCAACACGGGGAAACUCACCAGGUCCAGA